Molecule: ribosomal RNA, 468 nt
Filed under: uncultured bacterium
Lineage: Bacteria
Description: partial 16S ribosomal RNA
Rfam family: Bacterial small subunit ribosomal RNA
Source: RNAcentral
GACGAACGCUGGCGGCGUGCUUAACACAUGCAAGUCGAACGGAAAGGCCCUGCUUUUGUGGGGUGCUCGAGUGGCGAACGGGUGAGUAACACGUGAGUAACCUGCCAUUGACUGUGGGAUAACUUCAGGAAACUGGUGCUAAUACCGGAUAGGAGCUCCUGCUGCAUGGUGGGGGUUGGAAAGUUUCGGCGGUUGGGGAUGGACUCGCGGCUUAUCAGCUUGUUGGUGGGGAAGUGGCUUACCAAGGCUUUGACGGGUAGCCGGCCUGCGAGGGUGACCGGCCACAUUGGGACUGAGAUACGGCCCAUACUCCUACGGGAGGCAGCAGUGGGGAAUAUUGCACAAUGGGCGGAAGCCUGAUGCAGCAACGCCGCGUGCGGGAUGACGGCCUUCGGGUUGUAAACCGCUUUCGCCUGUGACGAAGCGUGAGUGACGGUAAUGGGUAAAGAAGCACCGGCUAACUACGUG